GUUUUUUCAGAAAUAUUAAAUCAUGAUUUUUGGUGUUUUUUUU
Molecule: small RNA, 43 nt
Filed under: Arabidopsis thaliana (thale cress)
Lineage: Eukaryota; Viridiplantae; Streptophyta; Magnoliopsida; Brassicales; Brassicaceae
Description: ATSL079980
Source: RNAcentral